GCAUAACGCGAAGAACCUUACCCACCUUUGACAUGUACGGAAUCCUUUAGAGAUAGAGGAGUGCUCGAAAGAGAGCCGUAACACAGGUGCUGCAUGGCUGUCGUCAGCUCGUGUCGUGAGAUGUUGGGUUAAGUCCCGCAACGAGCGCAACCCUUGCCAUUAGUUGCUACAUUUAGUUGAGCACUCUAAUGGGACUGCCGGUGACAAACCGGAGGAAGGUGGGGAUGACGUCAAGUCCUCAUGGCCCUUAUAGGUGGGGCUACACACGUCAUACAAUGGCUGGUACAAAGGGUUGCCAACCCGCGAGGGGGAGCUAAUCCCAUAAAGCCAGUCGUAGUCCGGAUCGCAGUCUGCAACUCGACUGCGUGAAGUCGGAAUCGCUAGUAAUCGCGAAUCAGAAUGUCGCGGUGAAUACGUUCCCGGGUCUUGUACACACCG
RNAcentral lists this ribosomal RNA (438 nucleotides) under uncultured bacterium. RNAcentral's name for it is "bacterial SSU rRNA". It matches the Rfam family "Bacterial small subunit ribosomal RNA", at positions 954 to 1392 of the family's 1533-position model. The record is from RNAcentral.